CAUUAAAUAUCUUAAGUAAAAGAAUUGAUUUUUUAAUUCAAAUUAUAAUAAUUAAAUUAUUUUUAAUGA
This 69-nucleotide transfer RNA is filed under the name Aspilodemon sp. RDB-2000. RNAcentral's name for it is "tRNA-Lys". Lineage: Eukaryota; Metazoa; Arthropoda; Insecta; Hymenoptera; Braconidae. The record is from RNAcentral.